AUUGAGCGCUGGCGGCAUGCCUUACACAUGCAAGUCGAACGGUAACAGGGAGCUUGCUCCGCUGACGAGUGGCGAACGGGUGAGUAAAGUAUCGGAACGUACCUUUCAGUGGGGGAUAACGUAGCGAAAGUUACGCUAAUACCGCAUAUUCUGUGAGCAGGAAAGCAGGGGAUCGCAAGACCUUGCGCUGAUUGAGCGGCCGAUAUCAGAUUAGCUAGUUGGUGAGGUAAAGGCUCACCAAGGCGACGAUCUGUAGCGGGUCUGAGAGGAUGAUCCGCCACACUGGAACUGAGACACGGUCCAGACUCCUACGGGAGGCAGCAGUGGGGAAUUUUGGGCAAUGGGGGCAACCCUGAUCCAGCCAUGCCGCGUGAGUGAAGAAGGCCUCGG
This 390-nucleotide ribosomal RNA is filed under the name uncultured bacterium. RNAcentral describes it as "bacterial SSU rRNA". It matches the Rfam family "Bacterial small subunit ribosomal RNA", at positions 30 to 420 of the family's 1533-position model. The record is from RNAcentral.